CCUUCCCUCCCGGCGACAACAAGCAAAACCCUUAAAUCGUCAACUUGCUCCGCGCGCUCCCUCUCUCUACACAACACACACACACACACACACAAUGGGUGAUUCAGUUCAAUGGAUUAAGCACAUCGAAUUGUACGUCAGCUCCACUGCCACUCCAUCCCAACAGUCUGCCAGUGUGGAGGCGGUUGCCACUUUGUUAAAGAAGGGCUUUUUUACUCUAGAAACACUUGUCAAGGAAUUGGAGAUGUAUUUGACUACCACUGAUAACAUUAUCCGCUCUAAAGGAAUUCUCCUCCUUGCUGAAGUGUUGGAUCAACUAGCAUCAAAGCACUUAAGUAGCAGUUCAAUACAUAGCCUAGUAGGAUUCUUCACAGAAAGACUGGCAGACUGGAAAGCUUUACGUGGUGCUAUUGUCGGCUGUUUGGCUUUACUGAGGAGAAAAGUUGAUGUUGGAUGUGUCACCGAUUCUGAAGCAAAGGCUGUUGCUGAGUCUUAUCUCCAAAAUCUACAGGUGCAGUCCUUGGGCCAACAUGAGAGGAAGCUGAGCUUUCAACUCAUGGAAUGCUUAUUAAAUCACUAUCCCGGUGCAAUAGAGGAUUUGGGAGAUAACCUUGUUUAUGGAAUCUGUGAGGCUAUUGACGGGGAAAAAGAUCCUCAAUGCUUAUUGCUUGUCUUUCAUAUAGUGGAAUGUCUUGCGCGGCUGUAUCCUGAUGGUUCUGGUCCUUUAGCAAAUUAUGCUGAGGAUAUGUUCGAAAUUUUAGGCAGUUACUUCCCCAUCCAUUUCACACACCCAAAGGGUGAGGAUGAUGACACAAAGAGAGAACUCUCGAGGGCAUUAAUGUUGGCAUUUGCUUCUACACCUCUUUUUGAACCUUUUUCUAUGCCGUUGCUGCUAGAGAAACUUUCUUCUUCUCUACCGUCAGCUAAGGUGGAGUCGUUUAAGUAUCUUAGCUAUUGCACAGUGAAAUAUGGACCAGAAAGCAUGGCAAGCCACGCUGAAGUUCUUUGGUCUUCUAUAAAAAAUGCAACAUAUAUUUCACCUCAGUGUACCCUGACUAAGGAGUCUGAAUCAUUGGGUGGCAUGGGUUUUCAGGAUAGUGACAUUAUGAUGCAGGCUUUUAUACUCCUGCAGAAAGUUAUUCAACAAUAUGGUGAUUUCAUUAUUUUAAUUUUGGGUGACAAUGACAUAAAUGUCUUUAUGAAGUCCCUGAAUCAGUAUAAGGAGAUGGAUGAAAUUAUAGCAAAACAGAGAUUGCAUGUGGUUGGUCAUAUUCUGUCCACUUGUGCUAAACCCUCGCCUGCAUUGUGCAAUAAAGUAUUUCACAGUUUCUUUCCACUCCUCAUGGAAAGUCUGGUGUUUCCAGUUGAAAAACCGUUGAAUGGCUAUCCAGAUGAAGAUUGUUUUCCUCCAGCCAAAUUUAAUUUUCCAGCUAUUUAUCUCUGCAUAGAACUUCUCGCAGCAUGCAGAUAUGUGGCUAUCUCCCUCGACAGUUCCACACCAGCUGUUGAUUUUUCUGAUCAGACAUGGUCUACCAUGCUUAGCAAUUCCUGUAAAUCACUAGUGAAAGCAUUCUUUUCCCUCCUAAGAUCAACGAUAGCUGAUCAAAGACCAAGUUCUGAUGUUUACUUUGGAGUUAAGGGCCUGGAAAUUUUGGCUACAUUUCCAGAAAGCUUCCUUCCAGUAUCAAAGUCCACAUACGAGAAUAUAUUGUCAGAGUUUGUCAGAACAGUUACUUCUGAUAGCAACGAGACAUUCUUGUGGACAUUGACAUUGAAGGCAUUGAAAGAAAUUGGCCUUUUUGUCAAUAAAUGUCCAGAAUCUGCAAAAGCUGUGAGCUUCGAGAACAUUGUUGUCGAAAAAAUUGUCUCCCUGAUACCUUCUGGUGAAUCAACUAUGCCUUCUUCACUCAAACUGCAAGCUGCUUUUGAAAUUGGAGGAACGAGAAAGGAAUUUAUGUUCAGAGUCGUUCAUGGGUUAAAUGCAGCAAUACAUACCAACUUUUCAGCUGCUUAUGAUGAAGGGAAUCAAUCGUCUGGAAAAGUGAUGAUCAAGCUUCUUGAUACUUACACCGAAAAGGUGCUUCCAUGGUUUCUUAAGAUUGGAGGUUUUGAGGAAAUCCCCCUGAAUUUUGCUCUCAGUAUCUGGGAAAAGAUUGAACAUACCAAGUCCUUAAACCUCAGUUCCCUGGAAAUUCAUAUGGAUCUUCUUGGGGCAAUAAUGACUGCAAUGAAGAAGGCUGUCCGGAGUUGUUCGAAGGAAAGCCAGGAGAUAAUCAUUAAUAAAGCUUUUGGAGUACUUUCUUCAAGUACUGUUUUUGGACAGAUGGUAAUUGAAUCUGGCAGUUCUCUUGUAAAGGAAGAAGGGUUGCAGCAAAUUCACAAUCCCAGUGAUUCUUCCUGUAGAGAUGAGCGGCUUACUUCAUUAUUUGCUUCAGUUAUUAUAGCUCUCCGUCCUCAAACAAGUAUACCAAACGGAAAAAUGAUUAUGCAGCUGUUCAUAAAAAGCCUCCUCAAUGGACAUGUUCCAUCUGCUCAUGCACUGGGUUCCUUAGUUAAUAAGCUACCUUUGGAGGUUACAGGAAUGGGCUCUAAUGGAAAUCUGACUCUGAACAAGGCACUGGAUAUGAUAUCUCCUAGUUUUCUGGGGAUUUCUCAUUAUGAUAACAUUUCUCAAAAUAAUGGCAGUAGAAUUGAUCUCAGUUGUCUAAGAUUGAAUACCUUAAGAAUGCAGCCUGGAAUUAACACUGCAGUUGGAUUAGCCUGGAUUGGUAAAGGAUUACUUAUGAGGGGGCAUGAAAAGGUAAAAGAUAUAACAAUGGCUUUAUUAAGUUUCUUGAUGCUGGAUUGUCAAGGUGGAGAUGCAAAAGAGCUUCAAAUUAUUGAUGAGGAAGAAAUGCAUAAGCUGAGAACAAGCGCAGCUGAUGCAUUUCAUAUCAUUAUGAGUGACUCUGAAGAAUGUCUGAAUCGAGAAUAUCAUGCAACAAUACGACCACUCUACAAGCAACGGUUUUUCAGCAUCAUCAUGCCAAUUUUUUUGUCCUUGGUGAUCAAAUCAGAUGCAUCACUUGUCAGUCCUACAUACACUUCCAGAUCUAUGCUAUAUAGAGCUUUUGCGCACAUUGUAUCUGAUGCUCCGUUGAUUGCUGUUUUGGCAGAAGCCAAAAAGAUUGUCCCUAUUUUAUUGGAUUGCUUGUCGGUGCUGAGCAAGGAUGUCGUGAACAAGGAGAUAAUUUAUAAUGUUUUACUUGUCAUGUCAGGAAUAUUGCUUGAGAAAAAUGGACAAGAAGCUGCAGUAGAAAAUGCACCCAUCAUUAUAAACCAGCUUAUUGAUCUGACAACAUACCGACACAUGAUGUCUAUUCGAGAAACAGCAAUACAGUGCCUUGUUGCUAUGUCUGAGCUUCCCCAUACUAGAAUUUAUCCUUUGAGAACUAAGGUUUUACAAGCCACAUCAAAGGCGCUUGAUGAUCCUAAGAGGAUUGUUCGUCAAGAGGCUGUAAGAUGCCGACAAUCUUGGGCUUCAAUUGCGUCAAGAAGUCUUCGCUUCUAAAACUGAAGGGGUUUUUCGUUGCUGUGCUGGUGAGAUCCGCUUUUUGUUAAAUGCAAAUCUUGUUCCAAGGUUCAUUCUCUGAAUCCUUGGCAACUUGGGAGUAUUAUUGUAUUGUAACAAUAGCAGUAAUAUUUGUGCAGAUUUCAUGAGAUGCAGACUAAUAUAAUGGGUAUUUAUGUAUAUUCCUCAAUCUCCAACCUAUAUAUAUCAACUGCAGCAACACUCGUAUCAAGAUGUCUGUCCUUCUGUAAAGCUUUUGUUUUGUUUAUUUCCUUGCGGAACAUAUCACACGUACGAAUUUCGUGUGUGAUAACAUAACUUAUUAGUAAUACCACUUUAAAUUGCAA
Molecule: RNA transcript, 3897 nt
Organism: Salvia miltiorrhiza (redroot sage)
Lineage: Eukaryota; Viridiplantae; Streptophyta; Magnoliopsida; Lamiales; Lamiaceae
Gene name: MMS19 nucleotide excision repair protein homolog
Exons: 21
Source: RefSeq, a predicted model, not a curated record